AGGCCUGGAGAGAGAAGCAGGGUCUGAUCCAUAGCCUUCAUGGCAGCUGUUGAUCAGCACUUGCCUCUCUCUCUCCG
Myotis brandtii (Brandt's bat) is the source of this 77-nucleotide non-coding RNA. Lineage: Eukaryota; Metazoa; Chordata; Mammalia; Chiroptera; Vespertilionidae. The record is from Rfam.